Myotis lucifugus (little brown bat) is the source of this 45-nucleotide non-coding RNA. NCBI's taxonomy places the organism in Eukaryota, Metazoa, Chordata, Mammalia, Chiroptera, Vespertilionidae. The record is from Rfam.
AGAACGGCUCUUUUAAGAGCCACUGAAGUACAGUUCUGUUUUCUU